AUUGAACGCUGGCGGCAUGCUUUACACAUGCAAGUCGAACGGCAGCGCGGGCUUCGGCCUGGCGGCGAGUGGCGAACGGGUGAGUAAUACAUCGGAACGUGCCCAGUAGUGGGGGAUAGCUCGGCGAAAGCCGGAUUAAUACCGCAUACGACCUGAGGGUGAAAGCGGGGGAUCUUCGGACCUCGCGCUAUUGGAGCGGCCGAUGGCAGAUUAGCUAGUUGGUGGGGUAAAGGCCUACCAAGGCGACGAUCUGUAGCUGGUCUGAGAGGACGACCAGCCACACUGGGACUGAGACACGGCCCAGACUCCUACGGGAGGCAGCAGUGGGGAAUUUUGGACAAUGGGCGAAAGCCUGAUCCAGCAAUGCCGCGUGUGUGAUGAAGGCCUUCGGGUUGUAAAGCACUUUUGGCGGGAACGAAAAGGACUGCGCCAAUACCACGGUUCGAUGACGGUACCCGCAGAAUAAGCACCGGCUAACUACGUG
Molecule: ribosomal RNA, 484 nt
Filed under: uncultured bacterium
Lineage: Bacteria
Description: partial 16S ribosomal RNA
Rfam family: Bacterial small subunit ribosomal RNA
Source: RNAcentral